CCUGUUGCUGGUUCGCCUGUAGCAGG
Molecule: non-coding RNA, 26 nt
Filed under: unclassified sequences
Description: L25-Gammaproteobacteria ribosomal protein leader
Rfam family: L25-Gammaproteobacteria ribosomal protein leader
Source: RNAcentral